UACGUAGGGGGCUAGCGUUGUCCGGAUUUAUUGGGCGUAAAGAGCGUGUAGGCGGCUUGGCAAGUCUGCUGUGAAAACUCGAGGCUCAACCUCGAGCUGUCGGUGGAAACUGCUUGGCUAGAGUCCGGAAGAGGAGAGUGGAAUUCCUGGUGUAGCGGUGAAAUGCGCAGAUAUCAGGAGGAACACCGAUGGCGAAGGCAGGUCUCUGGGCCACUACUGACGCUGAGAAGCGAAAGCAUGGGGAGCGAACAGG
RNAcentral lists this ribosomal RNA (253 nucleotides) under uncultured bacterium. Its description in RNAcentral is "partial 16S ribosomal RNA". It matches the Rfam family "Bacterial small subunit ribosomal RNA", at positions 524 to 776 of the family's 1533-position model. The record is from RNAcentral.